AGGUUUCCGUAGGUGACCUGCGGAAGGAUCAUUA
This 34-nucleotide ribosomal RNA is filed under the name Rhizopogon vulgaris. Its description in RNAcentral is "partial 18S ribosomal RNA". Lineage: Eukaryota; Fungi; Basidiomycota; Agaricomycetes; Boletales; Rhizopogonaceae. RNAcentral also lists the same sequence under 7 other names. The record is from RNAcentral.